RNAcentral lists this small RNA (29 nucleotides) under Bombyx mori (domestic silkworm). RNAcentral describes it as "ovarian small RNA-5246". Lineage: Eukaryota; Metazoa; Arthropoda; Insecta; Lepidoptera; Bombycidae. The record is from RNAcentral.
GCACGGAAGGCAAAGAUGUCCAGUGUCAA